UCUUGGUCAUUUAGAGGAAGUAAAAGUCGUAACAAGGUUUCCGUAGGUGAACCUGCGGAAGGAUCAUUAUUAAAUGUUGCUCUGCAACUUUAUAAUCCCUUAACACCUGUGCAUUUUGUCGCUCCGGCGAUAUAUACAAACAUCAGUGUAAAGAAUGUAAAUUAUUAUAACAAAUACAACUUUCAACAACGGAUCUCUUGGCUCUCGCAUCGAUGAAGAACGCAGCGAAAUGCGAUAAGUAAUGUGAAUUGCAGAAUUCAGUGAAUCAUCGAAUCUUUGAACGCACAUUGCGCCUUUUGGUAUUCCGAAAGGCAUGCCUGUUUGAGUGUCAUAAGACCUCUCAUACUUAGUUUUCUAUGUAUGAGCUUUGGACGUCUGCCAUGUUUUGGCUCGUCUUAAAUGUCUAAGUGGAAUGCGUAAUAAGUUUUCGCUCCCUCCACUCUAAUAACUUUUAGUUAGACCUCAAAUCAGGUAGGGCUACCCGCUGAACUUAAGCAUAUCAAUAAGCGGAGGAA
RNAcentral lists this ribosomal RNA (515 nucleotides) under Cryptococcus sp. 1 TMS-2011. Its description in RNAcentral is "eukaryotic LSU rRNA". The stretch from base 178 to 331 matches the Rfam family "5.8S ribosomal RNA". Lineage: Eukaryota; Fungi; Basidiomycota; Tremellomycetes; Tremellales; Cryptococcaceae. The record is from RNAcentral.